This is a non-coding RNA of Elaeis guineensis (African oil palm), 1344 nucleotides long. Lineage: Eukaryota; Viridiplantae; Streptophyta; Magnoliopsida; Arecales; Arecaceae. The record is from RefSeq and is a predicted model, not a curated record.
UGGGUCAGGGCUAGAGUCGUAUUAGGUCCGCCUUUACUCUUUCCGGAGGCACACUCAGAGGUGAUACCGACGCCCGUUUGACGGGAGGCCGAUCGAGGCCAAGAAAGAAGAACGGAAAAGAAGAAACGUCACGCACAGAGAGAGAGAGAGCGGUGGCUCAGCGUUGGUUAGAGGAGAUGUGGAGACGGGCGGCGUUCUUUUCCGCAUGGAUCUCUUCUUCUUCUUCUUCCACCAACUCCUUGAACCACCAGUGGAUACCAAAUGGCUUGAAGUUUGUGGAACUCUUUACUACAGAAACUGUGAAGUUGGCAAAAGAGGGUAUCUCUUAUCAAAGAAGUCCUUUCAUAACUUUUGUCUUGGGUGGCCCUGGGAGUGGCAAAGGGACGCAAUGUAUAAAAAUUGCAGAAACCUUUGGAUUUGCACAUCUAAGUGCUGGUGACCUGCUGAGAAAGGAAAUGUCCUCUGAUAAUGAAAAUGGAGCAAUGAUCCGUGACAUAAUCAAGGAAGGAAAGAUUGUUCCAUCAGAAAUAACAGUCAACUUGAUCCGCAGAGCAAUUGAAUCAAGCAAGAACCAUAAAAUUCUAAUUGAUGGUUUUCCUCGGAGUGAUGAAAAUCGAAUUGCUUUUGAACGGAUAGUUGGAGUAGAACCAGACCUUGUCCUCUUCUUUGACUGCCCAGAGGAGGAAAUGGUGAAACGAGUACUAAACCGUAAUCAGGGGAGAAUUGAUGAUAACAUUGAGACGAUAAAGAAACGACUUAAGGUGUUUGAGAAAUUAAAUCUUCCUGUUAUCAAUCAUUACUCUGCAAAAGGAAAAGUUUACAAGCUGUAACUAUUAUGAAUAUCAUGCCUGCAGAUCAAUGCAGAGGGAACUGUGGAUGAGAUCUUUGAAAAAGUUCGUCCCCUGUUUGCUUCCUUAAGCAUCUGAUGAAUAUGAAAGACUAUGAAGACUCCAAGAGAUGGUGAAGGAAAAAAGCAGGAGGUUGGCCCUAGUUUUUGUUUGGGGAUGCCCCUCUUGCUGCAUGCUCAUCUUUUUCUCGUAACCUGACAAAGAGACAAUAACUGGAUUUAAUCCCGUUUCCUGUCCUCUCUUCUUUCUCUUCCUUUUCUUUUCCCUCCGAGGGGAGGGGCUACUUUUUGGAUUAUGAAUUGUACGAUUUUAACCCUUUCAAAAUUAAGUCAAUGCCCUAGAACACUUGAACUCUGUGUAAUGGGAUGAGUGGAGAAGCACAAAAAAGAUGGUAGAGCCUAGAGCAUACGUCUAAGACAUUGUUCUAAUAUUUCAUACGGUAGAGAACAAUGUAGAGAAAAUUUUGGGUGUUUUCAGUUUCUUUCGUGCACUACCA